RNAcentral lists this unclassified non-coding RNA (248 nucleotides) under Glomus sp. RNAcentral's name for it is "partial contains 5.8S ribosomal RNA and internal transcribed spacer 2". The stretch from base 1 to 65 matches the Rfam family "5.8S ribosomal RNA", at positions 84 to 154 of the family's 154-position model. The record is from RNAcentral. Lineage: Eukaryota; Fungi; Glomeromycota; Glomeromycetes; Glomerales; Glomeraceae.
GUGAAUCAUCGAAUUUUUGAACGCAAAUUGCACUCUCUUCGGAGAGUAUGCCUGUUUGAGGGUCAGCCUAAAAAAAAAAUCGACAUAGUCACUGUUUCGCGGGGACAUUCGUCGGAAAUUGGGUAAUCUUAAAACUUUGGGUUUUAAGAGGCUUAAAAUUUUCUGUACGAUUCCACGAACGUUUCUAAGAUUUACUUCUUACGUUGAAGGUAUCGAUUUUUAUUAGACGUGUCCGUGGCAUCGGAUUA